This 114-nucleotide ribosomal RNA is filed under the name uncultured bacterium. RNAcentral's name for it is "partial 16S ribosomal RNA". It matches the Rfam family "Bacterial small subunit ribosomal RNA", at positions 1360 to 1482 of the family's 1533-position model. The record is from RNAcentral.
CGGUGAAUACGUUCCCGGACCUUGCACACACCGCCCGCCAAGCCAUGGAAGCUGGGUGUACCUAAAGUCGGUAACCGUAAGGAGCCGCCUAGGGUAAAACUAGUGACUGGGGCU